This 205-nucleotide long non-coding RNA is filed under the name Elaeis guineensis (African oil palm). RNAcentral describes it as "long non-coding RNA (EGUI_LNC067921)". Lineage: Eukaryota; Viridiplantae; Streptophyta; Magnoliopsida; Arecales; Arecaceae. The record is from RNAcentral.
CUCCCCUUAUUGGGAGUGAUUGAUUUUUUAUUGAUUACUCACAACCUUCAUGCACUCUUCACCAUAUCCAGAACACCCUACACAAGGAUCAGAGAAUCAAGUUAGAUAGUGGACCAAAAUAUGGAUCCAAGUACAUAAGGCACCAUGGUGAUCUCAGGUCAAAAGAUCACUUACACAACUCCUACUAGAGAAACAUCAGUUGACA